Molecule: ribosomal RNA, 497 nt
Filed under: uncultured bacterium
Lineage: Bacteria
Description: partial 16S ribosomal RNA
Rfam family: Bacterial small subunit ribosomal RNA
Source: RNAcentral
GAUGAACGCUGGCGGCGUGCCUAAUACAUGCAAGUCGAGCGAACGGACGAGAAGCUUGCUUCUCUGAUGUUAGCGGCGGACGGGUGAGUAACACGUGGAUAACCUACCUAUAAGACUGGGAUAACUUCGGGAAACCGUAGCUAAUACCGGAUAAUAUUUUGAACCGCAUGGUUCAAAAGUGAAAGACGGUCUUGCUGUCACUUAUAGAUGGAUCCGCGCUGCAUUAGCUAGUUGGUAAGGUAACGGCUUACCAAGGCAACGAUGCAUAGCCGACCUGAGAGGGUGAUCGGCCACACUGGAACUGAGACACGGUCCAGACUCCUACGGGAGGCAGCAGUAGGGAAUAUUCCGCAAAGGGCGAAAGCCUGACGGAGCAACGCCGCGUGAGUGAUGAAGGUCUUCGGAUCGUAAAACUCUGUUAUUAGGGAAGAACAUAUGUGUAAGUAACUGUGCACAUCUUGACGGUACCUAAUCAGAAAGCCACGGCUAACUACGUG